Molecule: ribosomal RNA, 432 nt
Filed under: uncultured bacterium
Lineage: Bacteria
Description: partial 16S ribosomal RNA
Rfam family: Bacterial small subunit ribosomal RNA
Source: RNAcentral
AACGAACGCUGGCGGCAUGCCUAACACAUGCAAGUCGAACGAGACCUUCGGGUCUAGUGGCGCACGGGUGCGUACCGCGUGGGAACCUGCCCUUAGGUUCGGAAUAACUCCCCGAAAGGGGUGCUAAUACCGGAUAAUGUCUUCGGACCAAAGAUUUAUCGCCUUUGGGUGGGCCCGCGUUGGAUUAGCUAGUUGGUAGGGUAAAAGCCUACCAAGGCGACGAUCCAUAGCUGGUCUGAGAGGAUGAUCAGCCACACUGGGACUGAGACACGGCCCAGACUCCUACGGGAGGCAGCAGGGGGGAAUAUUGGACAAUGGGCGAAAGCCUGAUCCAGCAAGGCCGCGUGAGUGAUGAAGGCGUUAGGGUUGUAAAGCUCUUUUACCCGGGAUGAUAAGGACAGUACCGGGAGAAUAAGCUCCGGCUAACUCCGU